CCUACGGGAGGCAGCAGUGGGGAAUAUUGCACAAUGGGGGAAACCCUGAUGCAGCGACGCCGCGUGAGUGAAGAAGUAUUUCGGUAUGUAAAGCUCUAUUAGCAGGGGAGAAAAUGACGGUACCUGACUAAGAAGCCCCGGGCAAAAACGUGACAGCAGCCGCGGUAAUACGUAGGGGGCAACGGUUAUACGGAUUUACUGGGUGUAAAGGGAGCGUAGACGGCUCGGGAAGUCUGAAGUGAAAGGCAGGGGCGUAACCCCUGAUCUGCUUUGGAAACUGCCAUGCGGGAGUGCUGGAGAGGUAAGUGGAAGUCCUGGUGUAGCGGUGAAAUGCGUAGAUAUUAGGAGGAACACCAGUGGCGAAGGCGGCUUACUGGACAGUAACUGACGUUGAGGCGCGAAAGCGUGGGGAGCAAACAGGAUUAGAUACCCUAGUAGUC
RNAcentral lists this ribosomal RNA (440 nucleotides) under uncultured bacterium. RNAcentral describes it as "partial 16S ribosomal RNA". It matches the Rfam family "Bacterial small subunit ribosomal RNA", at positions 338 to 795 of the family's 1533-position model. The record is from RNAcentral.